RNAcentral lists this ribosomal RNA (415 nucleotides) under uncultured Thermoplasmata archaeon. Its description in RNAcentral is "partial 16S ribosomal RNA". It matches the Rfam family "Archaeal small subunit ribosomal RNA", at positions 330 to 747 of the family's 1478-position model. Lineage: Archaea; Methanobacteriati; Thermoplasmatota; Thermoplasmata. The record is from RNAcentral.
GUGCAGCAGGCGCGAAACUUUCACAAUGCUGGAAACAGCGAUGCGGCAACUCCGAGUGCCAACGCGUUGCGUUGGCUGUUCUCCUGCCUAAAAAGCAGGAGGAGUAAGGGCCGGGUAAGACGGGUGCCAGCCGCCGCGGUAAUACCCGCGGCCCGAGUGGUGCUCGUUAUUAUUGAGCCUAAAGAGUCCGUAGCCGGUCUGAUAAAUCCUUGGGUAAAUCGGGCAGCUUAACUGUCCGAAGUCCGAGGAGACUGUCAGACUUGGGAUCGGGAGAGGCGGAAGGAACUCCCGGGGUAGGGGUAAAAUCCUGUAAUCCUAGGAGGACCACCAGUGGCGAAAGCGUCCAACUAGAACGGAUCCGACGGUAAGGGACGAAGCCCUGGGGCGCAAACGGGAUUAGAUACCCGGGUAGUCC